Molecule: ribosomal RNA, 427 nt
Filed under: uncultured prokaryote
Description: bacterial SSU rRNA
Rfam family: Bacterial small subunit ribosomal RNA
Source: RNAcentral
UAGGGAAUCUUCGGCAAUGGGCGAAAGCCUGACCGAGCAACGCCGCGUGAAUGAUGAAGGCCUUCGGGUUGUAAAAUACUGUUAUAAGGGAAGAACGACAUUAGUAGGAAAUGGCUAGAGUGUGACGGUACCUUAUGAGAAAGCCACGGCUAACUACGUGCCAGCAGCCGCGGUAAUACGUAGGUGGCGAGCGUUAACCGGAAUUAUUGGGCGUAAAGAGCGCGCAGGUGGUUGAUUAAGUCGGAUGUGAAAGCCCACGGCUUAACCGUGGAGGGUCAUUGGAAACUGGUCGACUUGAGUGCAGAAGAGGGAAGUGGAAUUCCAUGUGUAGCGGUGAAAUGCGUAAAUAUAUGGAGGAACACCAGUGGCGAAGGCGGCUACCUGGUCUGUAACUGACACUGAGGCGCGAAAGCGUGGGGAGCAAACA